CGUGUAGGCGGCCAGGUAGGUCCGAUGUGAAAUCUGGAGGCUCAACCUCCAGCGGUCAUUGGAAACCAUCUGGCUAGAGUCCGGAAGAGGAGAGUGGAAUUCCUGGUGUAGCGGUGAAAUGCGCAGAUAUCAGGAAGAACACCAAUGGCGAAGGCAGCUCUCUGGGACGGUACUGACGCUGAGACGCGAAAGCGUGGGAGCGAACA
This 206-nucleotide ribosomal RNA is filed under the name uncultured bacterium. RNAcentral describes it as "partial 16S ribosomal RNA". It matches the Rfam family "Bacterial small subunit ribosomal RNA", at positions 568 to 774 of the family's 1533-position model. The record is from RNAcentral.